UGAGGAAUAUUGGUCAAUGGGCGAGAGCCUGAACCAGCCAAGUAGCGUGCAGGAUGACGGCCCUAUGGGUUGUAAACUGCUUUUAUAGGGGAAUAAAGUGGGAGUCGUGACUCUCUUUGCAUGUACCCUAUGAAUAAGGACCGGCUAAUUCCGUGCCAGCAGCCGCGGUAAUACGGAAGGUCCGGGCGUUAUCCGGAUUUAUUGGGUUUAAAGGGAGCGUAGGCCGGAGAUUAAGCGUGCUGUGAAAUGUAGACGCUCAACGUCUGCACUGCAGCGCGAACUGGUUUCCUUGAGUACGCACAAAGUGGGCGGAAUUCGUGGUGUAGCGGUGAAAUGCUUAGAUAUCACGAAGAACUCCGAUUGCGAAGGCAGCUCACUGGAGCGCAACUGACGCUGAAGCUCGAAAGUGCGGGUAUCGAACA
Molecule: ribosomal RNA, 422 nt
Filed under: uncultured Prevotella sp.
Lineage: Bacteria; Pseudomonadati; Bacteroidota; Bacteroidia; Bacteroidales; Prevotellaceae
Description: bacterial SSU rRNA
Rfam family: Bacterial small subunit ribosomal RNA
Source: RNAcentral